AUACGUAGGGGGCGAGCGUUGUCCGGAUUUAUUGGGCGUAAAGGGUGCGUAGGCGGACUUGUAAGUCAGAUGUGAAAGAUCAUGGCUUAACUGUGGUAAGCAUUUGAAACUGCAGGGCUUGAGUACAGGAGAGGAGAGUGGAAUUCCUAGUGUAGCGGUGAAAUGCGUAGAUAUUAGGAGGAAUACCAGUGGCGAAGGCGACUCUCUGGACUGAUACUGACGCUGAGGCACGAAAGCGUGGGGAGCAAACAGGAUUAGAUACCCUGGUAGUCCACGCUAUAAACGAUGAGUGCUAGGUGUCGGGGGUCAAACCUCGGUGCCGCAGUUAACACAUUAAGCACUCCGCCUGGGGAGUACGGCCGCAAGGCUGAAACUCAAAUGAAUUGGCGGGG
Molecule: ribosomal RNA, 392 nt
Filed under: uncultured bacterium
Lineage: Bacteria
Description: partial 16S ribosomal RNA
Rfam family: Bacterial small subunit ribosomal RNA
Source: RNAcentral